GGUAUCAGAAGUGCGAAUGCUGACAUAAGUAACGAUAAAGCGGGUGAAAAGCCCGCUCGCCGGAAGACCAAGGGUUCCUGUCCAACGUUAAUCGGGGCAGGGUGAGUCGACCCCUAAGGCGAGGCCGAAAGGCGUAGUCGAUGGGAAACGGGUUAAUAUUCCCGUACUUGGUGUUACUGCGAAGGGGGGACGGAGAAGGCUAUGUUGGCCGGGCGACGGUUGUCCCGGUUUAAGCGUGUAGGUGUGUGUUCCAGGUAAAUCCGGUUCACUUUAACACUGAGGCGUGACGACGAGGCACUACGGUGCUGAAGCAACAAAUGCCCUGCUUCCAGGAAAAGCCUCUAAGCAUCAGGUAACAUCAAAUCGUACCCCAAACCGACACAGGUGGUCAGGUAGAGAAUACCAAGGCGCUUGAGAGAACUCGGGUGAAGGAACUAGGCAAAAUGGUGCCGUAACUUCGGGAGAAGGCACGCUGACACGUAGGUGAAGUGAUUUACUCAUGGAGCUGAAGUCAGUCGAAGAUACCAGCUGGCUGCAACUGUUUAUUAAAAACACAGCACUGUGCAAACACGAAAGUGGACGUAUACGGUGUGACGCCUGCCCGGUGCCGGAAGGUUAAUUGAUGGGGUCAGCGCAAGCGAAGCUCCUGAUCGAAGCCCCGGUAAACGGCGGCCGUAACUAUAACGGUCCUAAGGUAGCGAAAUUCCUUGUCGGGUAAGUUCCGACCUGCACGAAUGGCGUAAUGAUGGCCAGGCUGUCUCCACCCGAGACUCAGUGAAAUUGAACUCGCUGUGAAGAUGCAGUGUACCCGCGGCAAGACGGAAAGACCCCGUGAACCUUUACUAUAGCUUGACACUGAACAUUGAGCCUUGAUGUGUAGGAUAGGUGGGAGGCUUUGAAGCGUGGACGCCAGUCUGCGUGGAGCCGACCUUGAAAUACCACCCUUUAAUGUUUGAUGUUCUAACGUGGACCCGUUAUCCGGGUUGCGGACAGUGUCUGGUGGGUAGUUUGACUGGGGCGGUCUCCUCCUAAAGAGUAACGGAGGAGCACGAAGGUUGGCUAAUCCUGGUCGGACAUCAGGAGGUUAGUGCAAUGGCAUAAGCCAGCUUGACUGCGAGCGUGACGGCGCGAGCAGGUGCGAAAGCAGGUCAUAGUGAUCCGGUGGUUCUGAAUGGAAGGGCCAUCGCUCAACGGAUAAAAGGUACUCCGGGGAUAACAGGCUGAUACCGCCCAAGAGUUCAUAUCGACGGCGGUGUUUGGCACCUCGAUGUCGGCUCAUCACAUCCUGGGGCUGAAGUAGGUCCCAAGGGUAUGGCUGUUCGCCAUUUAAAGUGGUACGCGAGCUGGGUUUAGAACGUCGUGAGACAGUUCGGUCCCUAUCUGCCGUGGGCGCUGGAGAACUGAGGGGGGCUGCUCCUAGUACGAGAGGACCGGAGUGGACGCAUCACUGGUGUUCGGGUUGUCAUGCCAAUGGCACUGCCCGGUAGCUAAAUGCGGAAGAGAUAAGUGCUGAAAGCAUCUAAGCACGAAACUUGCCCCGAGAUGAGUUCU
This 1551-nucleotide ribosomal RNA is filed under the name Salmonella enterica. RNAcentral's name for it is "bacterial LSU rRNA". It matches the Rfam family "Bacterial large subunit ribosomal RNA", at positions 1278 to 2812 of the family's 2925-position model. The record is from RNAcentral. Lineage: Bacteria; Pseudomonadati; Pseudomonadota; Gammaproteobacteria; Enterobacterales; Enterobacteriaceae.